Long non-coding RNA from Alosa sapidissima (American shad), 5664 nucleotides. RefSeq lists it as uncharacterized. The record is from RefSeq and is a predicted model, not a curated record. The transcript is spliced from 4 exons. Lineage: Eukaryota; Metazoa; Chordata; Actinopteri; Clupeiformes; Clupeidae.
UCUGUCAAUGGCAUACGAUUAUAUGAGACGAAGUCACGCCUAUACAGAACAUUUGCGUCACACAUUACCUAGUUCCAUCACCAUAUCUCCCAAAACAGAAUCCACUACACGAGACCUACCUUUUAAUGUAAUUAUUUCAGCCAUCUCUGGUCAUAAAAACCUAAUUUGUUUGCUCUCUGUUCCGAACAGACUGUUCAUGCGUAAAAGCGAUUCAAGCAGAACGUGGAAGAGACACUGACACUGCACGUGAGAAUGGAAGCAGUUGGACAGCAGAAAACACAGGUCUUACAGGGGAAAGGUCAGCAUGCAGAACGAGGGAAGUGCCAGGAAAUCCAUGCUGUGAGACCAGACAAGAGAGCAAGACAUCAACUGGGGGUGAUCCUGACUGGUUGUGGUGGCCUGGCAGUGACCACAGUCAGUCUCUGGCAGUGACCACUUGGUCACCAUGCCCCGCAUUUCACCUGUGCAGUUGGCCGUGGUCAAACCUUCCUGUGCGUCAUCCAGAGAGAAUCGAUCCAGUGACCUCAUUUAACACUCUCGUGAUAUGUUCACCAGGUGCCUCUUUUUCCCCUAUAAAAUUACAUUUCAUGGUCAUGCCUGACAACCAAUAAACAAGUCAAGCCAUGCAUGACUAAUCGUACUUGUCCAAUUGAAUAAACAGUGGAACAUAAGUGAUGUUGCCAAAUUAUGUACACGUGUUCAAGACAACUCGUAGACUGACAUCUAACAGCACUGUACAAGCAGCCUAGAUUAUUUCUUUAAAUUGAAUUCUGUGCUGCGGAAUAUUCCGACCCAUCAGUUUCCCAUGAGACUGGGUUACCAGAGCCAGAGGAGGAGAAGAUAGGAGACAGGAGAGUAAGAGAAGGAAGAAAAGAGAAGAGAAGAGAGAGAGGAAGAGAAGAAACACAGGGAGGAGAGGAUAGGAGACGAGCAGGGAAAAGAACUUUGAAAGAAACACAGGGUGUGCAAGAAGAAACUAGACAACUAGACAACAAUCCAUUAGACACCAAGUAAAAACUGUCACUGAUGACAGACUUUUGGCAGUUGAUCGGUUCCAGGCAAGGGUCAGAUCUCUGCCAGACUUGGUCUGGAUCUGGCCCGGUGCUGGUCUGAAUUGAUUUGAAAAGAGCCAUCUCCCGACGGGCGUGCCGCAGUUCCGACUGAGUCAGUGGCUCGGCCUAAUAUAGGACAUUAGGGAGUGGCCCGUUGGGGUUUGAUCAAAUUGUGUGACCUUUAAGUGCACUGGAGAUGAGUCGGCGGUGGAUGCCUCCGGUGGUAGUAGCAGCCGCAGCAGAGACUGAGAGGCGUAUGCAGACUACAGCAGCUCUGGAGCCACUACUGCGUCUUCACCACCACCACCACCACCACCGCCGCCGCCGCCGCCGCGGGACAGCCCGCUCCCCAACAGCGCAUAGCAUGCUAAUACAGGGUUCAGAGCAGCGCAUAGCAUGCUAAUACAGGGUUCAGAGCAGCGCAUAGCAUGCUAAUACAGGGUUCAGAGCAGCGCAUAGCAUGCUAAUACAGGGUUCAGAGGGUAGCGAGGCGGAAUACGAGACAACGCCCAUGCCAGCUCCUGCCUUGAUAGCGGUCCAAAUCCUAUUCUGCCCACUCACAGAUUCACUUUCAACCGUUUUUGGAUUUUUGGAAUUACAGGGCGGGCGGACUCUCUAGGGUUGUUUCUCUCUCUCAUCAGGCCUGGCCGGCUGAGCCCAGAGUAGACCCCCCCUGGUAGCCGACGAGGGUAGACCUCACGUCUUUGGGGUUUCCUGGCGUGACUAAGAGACAUGGCUGGUGGGUUCAGAGACAGAGAUGAUUCUAAAAGUAUCAACAGCUGAAGAGAGGCCUUCAAAAAUGGGAGUGGGGGGUUAUGCUUUUUAAAGAGGUAGAUAGUAUUCACCCAGAGGAACCAGAGUUCCCAGUCACACUCCUCUAAUAUGACACAGGAAACCUACACUCAACCUACACAAAAUAAUCGUCUGCACUGGUCAGACAUACACUUUAAAUAUACACAGGUAAAAUAGAUUUGACCAACUUGGUUGACGUACUCUGAAGCAUGAUAGAAGAAACACAUUGUAUCAUGACUCUUUUUCCAGCAUAGAUCAGUUCAAUUCUUCCUACUGUGCUGCAGUGCCCAGUCCAGGUGGUGUGCUGCUCAGAUGAACCGUCAUGUCUGAGCAGGUCUGGAUCGGAAGGGCUCCAUGUGGAGUGGAAUGGAAGGCUGAGUCAAGUUAAACAAACCGUGUCAGUGUCACCUCUUCACCCCCUCAUGUAGUGCUAUUAUGGACACACACACACACACACACACACACACACACACACACGUCUUUUCUUUUCAUUGAUUCUAGAGGGUGUGUGUCUAAGCUCAUCUUGGUGAGUUGUAAUGUGUACACAGAUGAGGCUGUCCAUAGACUUCAUGGGUGCUUUCGGCCUAUGGUUAAUGGGUAGUUUCUUCCUUGUCCUUCAGCAUGAGGGAAAUCAAUAACAUACUUUAUUACUUGACAAAUAAAAAUGGCCUCUGCAGUUUUACAAAAAAGAGAGAAAAAAUAACACUUGCCAGUUUACCAUUUAAGAUUGGCAGUUCAUUAUGUGACAACACUGAAUUGAUUUAUUUAGCCCUUUACAAGUCAGACUUCACAUCCACAUAGGCCUUCACUUUAUUUUGCCACUGGUGAGUAAGGGAUAGGUGUUUGAAUAAAAGCCUGUGUUAGCAUGCGUGAACCUUGUCCUCUCUGCAGGACCUGUGAAGGCAUUGUUUGGGGGAGAGUGAGGCAGAGAGGGCAUUUAAUCUCAAGGACACCGAGCACUACGGCUUCAGCCUCCAGCCUCUAUAGCCCCCAGCCUCCAGCUGCAGCCUCCACGAUAAGCAAACUGAUGCGAUCGAUAAAAAUCGCUAAAAAUAUGUGGAGCCCAGCACCAAAGUGAAAUAUGAGGCCCAAAGACUAGAAAACUACACGGUAGCACUUACUGAUCCGACAGUCCCCAGGCUCCAGUUACUCAUGUAGGCGCGAUCCUUUUUGCCAGCAGACAGAUCUGUGCAUAUAUAAUCCAAUGAAACGGGAAGUGAUUUCCUGUAAAUAGCUAUUCACAUGCAGGGGAUUGAAAAACUAAAUAAGUAUGAGAUGUGGGUGUAAGGUAUGUGAGAGGUGUGGGGAAAUGUAUCAGACACUCUGACAUACAAUUACCGUCCAAGGACCAAACAUGCUCCAGUAAUUUUCAUCAGGCAUUUUUAAAGGCAGUCAUAUAAUCAGACCUCUCUCAUGGUCAAAACCCUCAUUACAGACUAGGUGCCUGGUUGGUUGAUGGAUGGCUCGGAUAGAUGGAUAGAGUCCUCACGAUGAGAGAGAGAAAGAGCAGGAAGAGAGAGAGGGAGAGAGAGAGAAAGAGAGAGAGAAAGAGAGAAAGUGAUAAAGAGAUAGAGAGAAAGAGAGAGCGGUGAGAGAAAUGUCCUGGAUGACGAGGAGGGCACAGGAGUUUAACCCACGAUAAGGGAUCUCUGAGCCAGCACUGCUGUGCCCCCACCCGCAUGCUGAUGACCUGGGUCCUGCCGCUGAUACAAGAGGACAGCUAUUCACAACCGGGGUGGCAAUAUGAGGGGAACAUGGCUUAAAAGAUACUGCACAUGUCUUAGGUAAUUUUGUAAUGUACAGUAUAAUGGUCAUAAUGAAAUUAUUUAGAAAUUAAAAAAAAUUUAGUCACCUUUUGCAUAGGUCAUUUUACAAAAGUAAUUUUGCAUAUUGGGAAAUUUUACAUUUUACUCUGACAUUUCCUAACAAGAUAGGUCAUAUGUCAGGAUGGAGUUUCCUAUUACAAAUGGUUGAUGGCAACAUGAUAUCAUAUUAGACACUAUCACGAUCAACUGUCAUGAUCACUACAAAUGACUUUCUAUGGCAUUUCUAUAGCAAGUCUUAUGACGGACGGUCACCAAAGUGUUGCGGCAUUCUGUGCGUCCCUGGUACAGAGGGACAGAGUGCUAAGGGGAGAGACCUGAGGAGGAGAACGAAACGGAGGACAAGGAGGAAGAGGACAGGAGGAUCCCCAUGGAGAGCACAUGGGCCUUUGUUCCAUCAGCAAUUCAGAUGGGUUGGACGUCACCGGCCAUUGUUCCUUUCAUGUGGGACAAGAACAAAAGGCACAUUAUGAAUGUCUAAUGCAGCCACAUUGACUGGGAUUGGGUUUCGUUUGCUGAAGGUCGCACCCCUCUGGUUUGUCAUUAUCCUAGAAUGCAAGGGAUUGUUUUUCAUCUGCUAAGGGCCUGGAUUAAUAUCACACUUUUUCUCCCUUCGGAUUGAAAGUAAGACCCAAUAUCUGCUGCCAUUUUGCAACUGAACUGAAAUGAAAUACACUAUCUUGAAACCACAGAGUAGGAGAUAUCUGCCCAUUUCAUUUGAUUUUAACAUUUCAUCAUAUUGCUGAAACCGAAUUAAAUAUGGAAGUGCAAAGUAGCCUACUAAAAGACUUAAAACUUGAAGGAUCAAUUUUUUGGGAAAUGAGCUUAUUUGCUGUCUAACCAAAGAUGUUAUAGAUAAAAAGAUACAUAUCCUUCUCUUUAUGUGCAUGCAGUAACCCAGUCUGACACUGUUAACCUAGCUAAGCAUAACUCACUGGAAGUGGAUUACACCAGUUAUCUUAUCCUCAUAGCUCACUGGAAGUGGAUUACUCCAGUUAUCUUAGCCUAUCUUAGCAUAACUCACUGGAGGUGGGUUAUAGUAGUUAUCUUAGCGUUAGGCAAACUGCUAUAAGUAACCCACUUCCAGUGAAUUAUGCUAAGCUGGGCUAACAUUUCUGAAACGCUAUAUGGAAAUAAUCUAGGGCUCUUUUAGAUACUAUACAAAUAAAAUAAAAUACAGAGAAUGUCUCAUCCAUAGUCUUCUAACCCAAAACCUCUUCUCUUAUCAAAAGCUGUCUCUACUCCAUCCUACCCUCAGAAUUCUCUUUCUCUCUUUGUCCCUGUCUGCAUUUGUAAGCCUAUCCAGCCAUUCAUUUGUGCAUUCAAAGUAACAGCAUUAAAAGUUACUUUUUCUUGGUUUUAUGAUUAAGUUGCAGACCACGCCAACAGUGUUCAAAGCACAGGAGGUGUUCAGUGCAAGGCAAUGCCAUUUAUGUGCAUGAUUAUUCAAUCCAACACAGGCCACUGAGAGUUGUUUCAAUCCAAACCCUUUCCUCAAAGGACUGGACAGCAACGUUCAUUAAUUGAAAUGAGGAAACCUUGAAUCUGCUUUGACUGGGUGUCUGGUGAAUGCAGCUGCAAAUUGUUUUUGUCUGAAAGUUUACUUGAUAAGUAUAUUUGUUUUGUCUUAUUGUUGCUGCUAGCACCUCAAUAUUGCAAAUAAAAGAGGAGAGAGAAGGUCUCCUUGCCUAGUACCUCUUUGUAUUUUAAUAUUUCUAGAUAAUGUACCAUUCGUUUUUACUCUAGAGGUUGGAUUGCUAUAUAUUGCUUUUAACCAUAAACAGAAUAUUUUAUUUAAACCUAUUUUAUUAAGAACCUCAAACAUAAAUGGCCAGCUAACUAAAUCAAAUGCCUUUUCUGCAUCUAAUGUAAUUAAACCGAUAUCCUUACUUUGUCUUUGAGCAUAAUCAAUUAUAUUUAAGGUUCUUCUAAUAUUAUCCCCCAAUAGUCUUCCCGGUAUGAAUCCACACUGAUCAAUGUUUACUAUAUCUGCAAUA